This is a long non-coding RNA of Mytilus trossulus (common blue mussel), 7957 nucleotides long. RefSeq lists it as uncharacterized. The transcript is spliced from 2 exons. Lineage: Eukaryota; Metazoa; Mollusca; Bivalvia; Mytilida; Mytilidae. The record is from RefSeq and is a predicted model, not a curated record.
UAAUGUUUAAUGAUUAAACAUCUGGGGUUUUAACUAUUUUAAGAGAUAUGAAAAAAAUGGUUUAUAGUUUUUUUGAACAACUAAAAUUAUUCUCUUAAUUAAAGAAAAUUUAACUGUCUGAGGUGUUUCAGGUAGAUAAACUAGAGUGCAAUAUUUACUUAAGUCUUGAAUUUCAUCUUUUGUAUGUACAUGCCAAUUUUAGAGUAUUUUGUAUUAUUAUUGAUAUAUAUUAUAUGUUGAAAUUUUGUCUAUUGUAAAUUGAUAAGGAUAUAUCAUUUUCUAACAUGGUAAUGUUAAAAAUUAAACCAGAAACUUGAUUAUUAUUACAUGAGAGUGACAUAUGUGGAAUUGAUUUCUCCAUGUAAUUGUGUAAACCCCAUUUUAAUUACAAAACUACUUUGGAGUGGUAAAAAUGGCUGUUUGGUGUGCAAAACUUUUAAAACUAUAGUUUAAAUGACAGUUUUACCCAUUUAUUAUCAAAAUAUUAUUUUUUAUUUAGAAUUCACAAAGUCAGGUGACUUUUUUUUUUAAAUUCACUUGUUAACUGGAAAAAAGUAAAAUCGUUAAUUUGAUAGACAAGAAUAGAACAUGUAAAUAUAUAUAUACAUAAAUGCACCAAUCAAUUAUCCACAUUUUAUUAACGUUUAGGUCACAUAACAAUAGUUUUUAUUUUAAUAGCUAAUAGGCUUUUUUUUUUAAUCAGUCACAAUCUACCACUUUGUAUUUUUACACUUUUACAUGUAUUCCAAUAAGAUUUUAGAUUGGUCGAAAUAUGAUUUACUUGAGUCUGAUACACUUUAUACUUUAUUCAAUAGUUGAGAGAUGCUAGUCAUAUACCUGAGAUGCAAUAUUAUAUAUAUAGUACAACAAGUAUUAUAAUAGUGGCAUUCAAUGCAAUUUGUUUAUAGAAAUGCUUUUAUUAGUCAGUAGUUUUAACUUAAGCAUUGUUUAAUUGUAUUUGAUGAUUUAGCUAACUGCAAUAAUGACUUUGUUUCUUACUUUAAUAUACCUACAUGUACAUAACCAUUGGAAUUAUUUUUUUAAUAAAUUGGAUUUUUGUCUUUUUUAAAUCUGUACAAAUAUAAAGAAAUUCUGAGGCUGAUUAGAAGUAGGAUUAUCUUUAACUCAAGGGCGUUUAAAAUGUCAAGAAGGAAAACAUUUGGAAGGAAUGAAGGGAAUUGAUGUAACCUUCAUGUAUUUGUAUGUUAUUUUUGCCAAAUGAACAACUAGCAUAUAUUAUUGGUAAGGUGCUAGUUAAAGCCCUCCUGUGGGUGUGAAUUUUCUUCCUGUGUUGAAGACACAUUGAUGGCCUUUGAUUUGUUUCUUCUCUUUGAUCUGCUUGUUGCCUAUUUAGAAAAUUUCAUGUUUCCAUGUUCCAGAUGUUCUAAUAGGAUAUUAUAAGUAAUUUCAAAAGUGCUACUUUAAAAUAAAAAAGUAUUUGGACUUAUCAUCAGAAAAAAUUUGUGACAAUUUAUUACAUUACAUUGACAGCAUUAGUGUAUAUCAUCUGACAUGAAUUCUGAUAAAUGUGGGGUUAUCAGGCACGGUCGCAUUUUUUGGCGAAACAUCACAAUAAAACUUUCUGAAGAAAGCAAUAAAAUUUGACAUUACAGUUGAAUUUUGACCAAUGAAGAACCAAGAUGAAUCUUAAAUUGGUAAAAUAAAUAAACAACAUGUAGAGAAAAGAAUAAAUUUGACUAAGAAUUAGAGAAAAUUAUGUACUUGAUUAUCUCCCAUACUAAAUUUAAAAAAAACCUUAAGGAAUAAGAUGCAUUUUAUUUCAAGUCAUUAUUGCAGUUAUCUACAUGUAUUUUUAUGUUUCAUAUAUAUGGUAUGUAAUGUUGAAUUAAGGGAGGUUGUUUGACUUUUGCCAAAUGUUUUGUUGUAACUAAAUAUGUACAGAGUCUCUAUAUUUUGAAAAUUAUCAUUAUCAUCUGUACAAAUUCAUCUAAAUGACUUGUAUAAUUAAUGUAUCUGUGAUUUUAUAGAUAAUAGUUUUUCGUAUACCCUAUUAUCAGAUUCCUGUUUAUUCCUAUUAUCUUUCAGUAUGUGAGACAUUAUCAAUCCAUAUACCACACGAUUUUUGUUUGAAGACAAAACAAAAAAAAACCUUGUACAAUUGAUCAACUUCAGUUGAAGAAAACAGACUCCUAUUUAGUCCAUUUCAUGUAUAAGGGAGAUUUUUUUUUAAAUCACUGUUGCUAUAAACAAAACGAUUUGCUAGUCAAUUUGAAAUGCUGAUAAGUCGGAAAGAUUUUUCUAUUCCUUUUAUAAGAUUAUAUGUCAGUUGUUAAUCUCUGAUGUAGAUGACUUUAACUUAAGAUUUUUUAAGUCUAUAUUUUGCAUUCUUGAAGUAUUUUAUUUGUUUAAAAUAUUAUUUUGUAUAUAUUUUAUUUACAAUUUCUGUGAUAAUGAUCUGAAAUCCUUUUAUACAUGUACACCAAUUUUAUGUUUCUCCACAACUGAAUUAAAGUUAAAUGUUUUCCCAAAUGAUAUAAAAGAUGACACAUCUUUCUCAUGAAAACACUUGUUAAUGGUAUAGGCAUGUAUUUCAAACACUAAACUUUUUAUCCUGUUUUUAUUUAAGGGCAUACGAUACAGUUACAGGACAGGUUAUGACGUUGCUAAGGUAAUUUGUUAUUUUCGCGACGUCAAACUGUGACAUAUCGGGAAAAGAUGCAUUUUUCGACUGAUUUUUAUCAUUCAAACUGAUUUAAUUUGAAAACGAGUUCAUGGACCCCUAUUUUUAUUUAAGGGCAUACGAUACAGUUACAGGACAGGUUAUGACGUUGCUAAGGUAAUUUGUUAUUUUCGCGACGUCAAACUGUGACAUAUCGGGAAAAGAUGCAUUUUUCGACUGAUUUUUAUCAUUCAAACUGAUUUAAUUUGAAAACGAAUUCAUGGACCCCUAUUUUUCAAAAUGGCAUUUGGUUUCAUUUUGCAGGGAGAUUAUGUGACCCAAAUUUUAUAAAACUGUAAAUAGAGGAUUUUUUUAAUUGUGAUAAACAUGCAAUAAAAAAUUACGUUUUUUUCCUCAAUUCAUGAACAUUUGAUAAAUAUGAGUCAUUUCUGAAUAAAAAAAAAUGCACAUUUUUUAAAGAUAUUUAUAAAAUACAGAAAUUACUGAUUAUUUAACAAAAAACAAUUUGUUUUUAUCUUUUAUAACAAAAAAGUUAUGUCUUUCUUUCGAAAAAGAAAUUACGGCCACAAAUCUGAAUUUCGAGCAAAUAUAAAAAAUUUCGACCUCAUUUUACGCAAAAAGUAGCACAUGAAGGUAUAUUUUUUAUUACAUAUUUGAUUUAAUCAGGUAAAAAAUAGCCAGUAUGCAAAUUUUCAUGAACUUGUAAAUACAGGAUCAAAACUGUAUUGUAUGCCCUUAAUUGAAUUAUACUGGAUUUAUUAUAUUUUAUUGAUUUGUUUUAUCUAGAUUUAAAAUUAUCAAGAUAGGCUUAUUAAAUCCUGUUAAAGUAGUAUUGUCUUCUGAAUGGAUUGGUCCAAGUAGAUUCAUCAAUAUCUUACAACAUGAUUGAAGUCAUCAAUUUCAUUAUAAAUACAUUAUUUAUGUGCAAUAUAACUAAUUGAUUGUGCCAUUAAAUUAUUAUAGGUCAGAUUUUGAAAUUCAAGCCUAUAAGUGUUUCUGAUUGAGCUAAUGGUGAACUUUUUCAUGCUAAGGAUUAAUUGGAAAAUAGAAUUCUUCAACAUUCACAUCAAAAAGGUUCUUAGGAUUAUGUAUGUUCUUUUACAUUCAUACACCAACAUUUUUAGACUACCUUUUUUUCAUUUUUACAUUGUGAAUAUUUUUUAAAAGAUGUAUUUUAUAUUUGAAAAUGAUCUCAAAUUUAGGUUAAGCUAAUAUUAAACAUUUAUGUUUUAAAAGCUAAAAUUUGUUAUUAUUUUCAUAUAUGUACAUUGUAAAUUUACAGUUUUAAGAAAACAUUUUUUUUGGUCAACAUAUUCUACAUUCAGAAAGGGUUGAUUUUCAUUAAUAUUUUUUUUCUUCAAUGAUGAAAAUUGUAAUACAAUAAAACUACUUAUACUUGAUUAAUAAUUUUGAACACUAUGCCUUUUUACCCCAAAAAAAAUUACCAUUUUAAAAAUUGGAUAAUGAUUUAAGGUUUUUUUGUAAUGGCACACUAAAUGAAUGAAAGAAAAAUAGCUUACCAUAUUUGCAUGGAAAGAAAUCUCUCUAUAUAUAAAAUCACUACAAUCCUCACAAACUUGUCACAUUUGGCAGAUCUUAAUUUGCAAUUCUGCAAUGAAUAUAGAUGUUUAUAGAAGCUACUGAUAAAGUUUUGAAUAAAUUGGUAUCAAGUGUCAAUUUCUGUCUUGUCAUUAUUACGAAAUUUUAAUUUGGAAAAUCAAUAUAAUUCAGAUGGAUUUAAAUGUUGAUAGCAUGUGUCAUGUAUUUGUAAGCUUAAAAUAUGCCACAGUAUGCAGGUUGUUUCUAAGAUGACUUUUUGUCUCAAUCAUUCAUAUUUUUAUUUUCCAGAAACAGUCCAAAUCACUACAUUCCAUCAAUUUCAAUCAACUUUGCAGAACUUACUUAAUUGAUUUAUUGUUGAUAAUUUAUACUUUUUAUUAUAUUUUUUUCUUUCUUAAACAUUCCACGGAGCACAUUGAAGGUCAAAAAAGCUAUUUCAAUACUUUUAUAAAAACAUUCCAAUCAAAAUGUAUUUUACCAUAAUUUAUCUACUUAAGUUGCUUUAAAAAAAAAUUCUGCUUAGCUUACAUUUGUUACAGUUCUACUUAUACAUAUGUAUGUGUUAAAAUUAAAACAAAAUGUGAAAAGUUGAUUUCAAAACAUGUUUUUUAUUGCAUUUUAUAUAUUUUUUUGCAUUUCUGAUCAAACAUCUUUACUGAUAUUUAAUAAGAUCUGACAAUUCAUAUUUUUCUAUUGUUAUAGUAUAUUUUCUUAAUAUGAUAAUUGACUUAAGGUUUGAAAACUAUAACUGAGAUCUAAAUAAAAUAGUGUUCAUAUGUUUGAAUCUCUAUCCAAUCAAAAGUAUCUUCUUUUGGAAAAUAUGAUUAACCAAUUUUGCAUUAUUAAAAUUCCUUUACAAUAGUUAUCAAAGGUACCAGAAUAAUGAUUUGGUGCAAGUGUUUAAUUGCUACUUAAUUAUUGAUUUAUCCCCCUCAACUACUUCAUGCAAAAGGUUAAUGUUGUUACAAAACAUUGUAUAUGAAAUCUGUAUUUAAAACAACUGCUGUAUAUUCAGAAAUUAUUGCAUUCAAUAAUGGACAAAAAUGUGAGUUUAAUUAUUGCAAUUCUUGUGUUUUUGAAAAGAAUCUUCCUGCAGGUAUAUGUUUCAGUUAUCAGAAUCAGUUGUAUUGCAAAACUCAUGCAGUUGCAUUAAUUGUAUUUAUAAAAAUCUCUCAAAAUUUUCUGAAAUUACAAUAGUUAACAGUUUACUGAAGUAAGUAAACAUUGAACCAAACUGACUCUCUUAACUAAGAAUUUGCUGUUUACAGAAAAAACAUGUAUCUGAUAAGAGUAAGUGUUUUACAAAGAAGUGGGUCUGCAUCUCAUAUAAAAAGAGAUAAUGGUAUUAAAAAAUAUACAUGCAUUAUCUUUCCAUUAAAAAGUUAAAUUAGUAUUUAUUUUUCACAACUUAUGAAAAUAGUUAAAAGAUUUUAAAGACAGCAUAUUGGAUCAAACUACUGUAGUUUUAUUCAGUCAUAAGUUGUCAUAGUUUUAAAUUGAGAUUUCCUAAAAACAAACAAGUGUAUGUCUGAAUAUUGAUUUUUAGAAUAUACCCUAAAGAUCUGCACAUUUUUAUAUACUAUUCUUAUCUUGUAUAUUCUAUUACUGGCAUUUAUACCUAUAACUUUCAGAACAAUAGAAGUCUCCUUGAACACUGAAAAGUCUAAUAUACCAUACCAAUAAAACAGUAGAUGUCUUCUAAGGCACAUUAACAAGUCUCCUAUACCCUACCACAAGGAACAAUAUAUGUCUCCUAAUAAAUGCUACCAAUUCUUAUAUACCAUACCACAUACAAAUGUAAAUGUCUUUAAGUACAUAAAUAAGUCUCAAGAACCAUACCACAUAGAACAAGUAGAAAUCUCCGCCUAAAACCUAACAAGUCUCAUACAUAUAUACCAUACCACAAGAACAGUUGAUGUGUCCUUAUAGACAAUAACUAGUCUCAUGCAUCAUACCACAUUUAUCUAUAUUUCUAUAGAUGCUUAGAGUAGAAAAGGAAAUGUUCAACUAGGAUGGAACAUAUAUCUUGCCGUACUGGAUACUGAUAUCAUACGCAAGACUUUAUAAUAACUAUUCUAAUUUUAUUAACAAACUAAUAUACUAAAACACUAUUGUAUACACAGUAUACUAAAAUCAUAUUCACAAUCAUUUCUACAUCUUUUAUACUAAAUACAUAUGAAAAUAAUAAUAAAUGUAUCAUUUGGCCUUCUAGGGGGCUACUAGUUAAAACUUACAAUAAAAAUAAAAAUAACCAUAUGAAAAACACUACCUACUCAAAACAAUUUUUAAAUUAAUAAAAAGUAAAUUGUCUAAAUUAUGCAAUUUAAGAACCUGCAGUAGAGCCCUGACAGGUGAAAAAUUAAUUUAAGAAACCUGACUGGUAGAGCCCAAACAGGUAUAAAUUUGAAAAAUGAGAAUGUCUGCGGUAGAUCCCAGCAGGUACUUUUAGAACCUGAGUGGUAGAGCCCACACAAGUAUGAAUUUUGAAACCUGAGAAUUCCUGCGGUAGAUCCCAACAGGUACUUUUAGAACCUGAGUGGUAGAGCCCAGACAAGUAUGAAUUUUGAAAACAGAAUUCCUGCGGUAUAUCCCAACAGGUACUAUUAGAACCUGACUGGUAGAGCCCAGACAAGUAUAUAUUUGAAAAAUGAGAAUUCCUGCGGUAGAUUCCAACAGGUACAAAAAAAUAACCUAAUUAUCACCCUUAAAUAAAAAAAAGCAUAAAUAAAUAAUAAAAUGUAUUAAUGAAUUGGGGGAAAAUAAUUUCCCUGAAAUUAAGUAGGCCAAAUUAAAUGACAGAACAACACACACAACAUAAAACUAAAACAAACAAAAAACAAAUAUGUUCUGAGUAGCCCCUGUUUAAAUAAACAUGUAAAAUAAUUAACACUAAAAUAAGACUAUUAAAUUCUUAAAGGUGCAGCUGGGGAUUCGGUGGGUGGGCUGAAUAAAUUAUCCACAAGUAAAAAUAUGACUGAUAACAGUGCAAUGCUCAAACGACAACUGACCAUCCUAUCAAAAUUAUAUACAGAUGAUUCUCUGACAUGUCUGAUAACACCUAUGCUGUCAUCAAGCUGUUUCCCAUCUACGAUAUAAUACCUAACCCUUAAUCUCUAAUUAAAACAGAACUGACAAGCUGACAAGCUAACAGCUGACCUUAACAUUAAUGAAAAGAAACCAGCGGAAGUUUAAUCAUGGGAAUUUAUCAAAAUAUGUAUAAACUAUAAUUUAAUUUUAUUUAAAUUACCAUAUCUCUUUUACACUUUCAAGAUUACUUAUUAGAAAAGUCCAGACAUACUAUAACUUAUUUGACCAAUUAUACAUACAUAUAAUGUAUUUGCAUGGGUGUGGGGAAAUUAUUGACAUUUGGUUAUCUCCCUUUCAUCAGAAAAAUCAAUAAGUAUGUCUGAUAGGUCUGAAUAAUGGGUGAUUAACAUAGAAAGCUCAGUCAUCUCUACACAUGUCUAUCAAAAUUUGAAAGCCUACCUCCUACAGGAAUUAAAUCCUUGAUGUUUCUAGACUUAAUUAUAUAUAUGUUUAUUAUACUGUUCCCAUCAAAUGUAUUUACCAAUAUUGUUUCAAGGAUAUUAUUUGUGUCUCCUAGUAUUAGAUAUUUAUAAUUUUCCAUAUUAUUAGACUAAUGAUCUAUUAUUUAAUGACUAUAUAUGAUCAUGUAUUAUAUUAUGAUUUAUUGUUAUAAUUCAGAUUUUAUGUGAUGUUAUUGUUGAUUAAUGGAAUAAAAAUAUCUGUGAUUGA